UGGCGGCGUGCUAACAAUGCAAGUCGAACGAGAAAGUGGAGCAAUCCAUGAGUACAGUGGCGACCGGGUGAGUAACACGUGACCAACCUGCCCUCGAGUGGGGAACAACCUAGGGAAACCUGGGCUAAUACCGCAUAACAUCCUCGGAUCGGAAGAGCUGGGGAUCAAAGGAGCAAUUCGCUUGAGGAGGGGGUCGCGGCUGAUUACCUAGUUGGCGGGGUAAUGGCCCACCAAGGCGAAGAUCGGUAGCCGGCCUGAGAGGGCGCACGGCCACACUGGAACUGAAACACGGUCCAGACUCCUACGGGAGGCAGCAGUGGGGAAUUUUGCGCAAUGGGGGAAACCCUGACGCAGCAACGCCGCGUGGAGGAUGAAGUCCCUUGGGACGUAAACUCCUUUCGACCGGGACGAUAAUGACGGUACCGGUGGAAGAAGCACCGGCUAACUCUGUGCCAGCAGCCGCGGUAAUACAGAGGGUGCGAGCGUUGUUCGGAAUUAUUGGGCGUAAAGGGCGCGU
This 517-nucleotide ribosomal RNA is filed under the name uncultured bacterium. RNAcentral's name for it is "bacterial SSU rRNA". It matches the Rfam family "Bacterial small subunit ribosomal RNA", at positions 37 to 572 of the family's 1533-position model. The record is from RNAcentral.